AAAGUGUCAGAGAAGUGGGGGGUGGGCUCAGGUCUGCGCCCCUCCUUUUUAACUCAGUGCCACAUCAGUAGCCACCAACAGCACCGGUGGAUGGAGCCCACUGGUAAAUGAUACAUGUGGCUUUGCAGAGCACUAAUCGGAUGGAGGUUGGUGCUAAGAGACUUUCAGACUCUGAAAGCCAGGGCCUUUAACACAUUUUUUUUCCUCUCAGCACUGGUUGUUUGGGCCAAUUUUUGGUAAUUUCAGUAAUUUUGGCCUGCUUACAGACAUCACUGCUGCUGAAAACCAGUUCUGAGCCCAGGAGACUGCAGCACUACGGAGCUUCAGGGAAGGAAAGCAAACGGCCGCAGGAUCUCCCUGGAUGCUGCCUUAUCCCCACGGGCUCUGACCCUCCCGAGCUGCAAAACACAUCUGAAGGAGGGGAUUGGGUGAGCUCAGGAGUGGAUUUCUGCAGCAACUCCGUGAAGCUGAGAGCUUUUCUAGCAACACACAUUCUGGAUCCUCUCAGAAAGGUGGGACUGCCCAGCCAGCAGCACCCCCUGCUCACCUCAACACAACUCAAAGCCUCUCACCAGCUUAAAGACCCGGACUUGUCCUUCGAAAGCUCCAUGCUGAAGAGUUGCUAUUAUUUUUCACGUAGACUUCACUGGAUUUGAUUCCCCGAAGAGCAUCUGGGGAGCACUGGGGGAACAGAGAAGGGCUACAGCUCUGUGCUCAUCCCUACUGCUCCGGGGUGAAGGUGUGAGGAGCCCCAGCCCUGAGCAGAGCAUAUGGUGGGCACAACCCAACCUGUCCCCACCAGCGGCCCCAGCCCAAGGGAUGC
Molecule: long non-coding RNA, 823 nt
Filed under: Gallus gallus (chicken)
Lineage: Eukaryota; Metazoa; Chordata; Aves; Galliformes; Phasianidae
Description: lncRNA (ENSGALG00010018178.1)
Source: RNAcentral